UGCAGCCGAGGGGUAUAGUUAGCUUGCUAACUAGAGACCGGCGCACGGGUGCGUAACGCGUAUGCAACUUGCCCUACUGAAAAGGAUAGCCCUUCGAAAGGAGGAUUAAUACUUUAUAAUAGAAAUCAUGGCAUCAUGAAUUUUUGAAAGAUUUAUCGCAGUAGGAUAGGCAUGCGUAAGAUUAGUUAGUUGGUGAGGUAACGGCUCACCAAGACGAUGAUCUUUAGGGGGCCUGAGAGGGUGAACCCCCACACUGGUACUGAGACACGGACCAGACUCCUACGGGAGGCAGCAGUGAGGAAUAUUGGACAAUGGGUGGAAGCCUGAUCCAGCCAUCCCGCGUGUAGGAUGACGGCCUUAUGGGUUGUAAACUACUUUUAUCUGGGGAUAAACCUACUUACGUGUAAGUAGCUGAAGGUACCAGAAGAAUAAGCACCGGCUAACUCCGUGCCAGCAGCCGCGGUAAUACGGAGGGUGCAAGCGUUAUCCGGAUUUAUUGGGUUUAAAGGGUCCGUAGGCGGAUUAAUCAGUCAGUGGUGAAAUCUCAUAGCUUAACUAUGAAACUGCCAUUGAUACUGUUAGUCUUGAGUGAUGUUGAAGUUGCUGGAAUGUGUAGUGUAGCGGUGAAAUGCUUAGAUAUUACGCAGAACACCAAUUGCGAAGGCAUGUGACUAAACAUCAACUGACGCUGAUGGACGAAAGCGUGGGGAGCGAACAGGAUUAGAUACCCUGGUAGUCCACGCCGUAAACGAUGGAUACUUGCUGUUGGAUUUUCGGACUCAGUGGCUAAGCGAAAGUUAUAAGUAUCCCACCUGGGGAGUACGUUCGCAAGAUG
RNAcentral lists this ribosomal RNA (835 nucleotides) under activated sludge bacterium GC_R2A_S_2. RNAcentral describes it as "bacterial SSU rRNA". It matches the Rfam family "Bacterial small subunit ribosomal RNA", at positions 56 to 896 of the family's 1533-position model. The record is from RNAcentral.